Molecule: ribosomal RNA, 460 nt
Filed under: uncultured bacterium
Lineage: Bacteria
Description: partial 16S ribosomal RNA
Rfam family: Bacterial small subunit ribosomal RNA
Source: RNAcentral
CCUACGGGAGGCAGCAGUGAGGAAUAUUGGUCAAUGGACGAGAGUCUGAACCAGCCAAGUAGCGUGAAGGAUGACUGCCCUAUGGAUUGUAAACUUCUUUUAUAUGGGAAUAAAACGUUCCACGUGUGGGAUUUUGUAUGUACCAUAUGAAUAAGGAUCGGCUAACUCCGUGCCAGCAGCCGCGGUAAUACGGAGGAUCCGAGCGUUAUCCGGAUUUAUUGGGUUUAAAGGGAGCGUAGGUGGAUUGUUAAGUCAGUUGUGAAAGUUUGCGGCUCAACCGUAAAAUUGCAGUUGAAACUGGCAGUCUUGAGUACAGUAGAGGUGGGCGGAAUUCGUGGUGUAGCGGUGAAAUGCUUAGAUAUCACGAAGAACUCCGAUUGCGAAGGCAGUUCACUGGACUGCAACUGACACUGAGGCUCGAAAGUGUGGGUAUCAAACAGGAUUAGAUACCCUUGUAGUC